RNAcentral lists this ribosomal RNA (463 nucleotides) under uncultured bacterium. RNAcentral's name for it is "bacterial SSU rRNA". It matches the Rfam family "Bacterial small subunit ribosomal RNA", at positions 8 to 507 of the family's 1533-position model. The record is from RNAcentral.
AGAGUUUGAUCCUGGCUCAGGAUGAAUGCUGGCGGCGUGCCUAAUACAUGCAAGUCGAGCGGUAAGGCCCUUCGGGGUACACGAGCGGCGGACGGCUGAGUAACGCGUGGGAACAUGCCCCAAAGUGAGGGAUAACGCACCGAAAGGUGUGCUAAUACCGCAUAUGGUCUUCGGAUUAAAGGAUUUAUCCGCUUUGGGAGUGGCCCGCGUACGAUUAGAUUGUUGGUGAGGUAACGGCUCACCAAGUCGACGAUCGUUAACUGGUCUGAGAGGAUGAUCAGUCAGACUGGAACUGAGACACGGUCCAGACUCCUACGGGAGGCAGCAGUAAGGAAUCUUCCACAAUGGGCGAAAGCCUGAUGGAGCAACGCCGCGUGCAGGAUGAAGGCCCUCGGGUCGUAAACUGCUUUUACGAGUGAAGAAUAUGACGGUAACUCAUGAAUAAGCACCGGCUAACUACGUG